Molecule: ribosomal RNA, 484 nt
Filed under: uncultured bacterium
Lineage: Bacteria
Description: partial 16S ribosomal RNA
Rfam family: Bacterial small subunit ribosomal RNA
Source: RNAcentral
GAUUAACGCUAGCGGCAGGCAUAAUACAUGCAAGUUGAACGGCAGCACAGGUAGCAAUACUGGGUGGCGAGUGGCGCACGGGUGCGUAACACGUAUGCAACCUACCCUAUACAGGCGAAUAACCUUUAGAAAUGAGGGCUAAUACGCCGUAGUAUUACAGAUGGGCAUCUAUUUGUAAUUAAAGAUUUAUCGGUAUAGGAUGGGCAUGCGUCCCAUUAGUUAGUUGGUAAGGUAACGGCUUACCAAGACGAUGAUGGGUAGGGGAUCUGAGAGGACUUACCCCCACACUGGUACUGCGACACGGACCAGACUCCUACGGGAGGCAGCAGUAAGGAAUAUUGGGCAAUGGCCGCGAGGCUGACCCAGCCAUGCCGCGUGCAGGAAGACGGCCUUAUGGGUUGUAAACUGCUUUUAUACGGGAAUAAUAGAGUGUACGCGUACAUUUAUGCAAGUAUCGUAUGAAUAAGCAUCGGCUAACUCCGUG